UUGGAAGUAAAAAACGUAACAAGGUUUCCGUAGGUGAACCUGCGGAAGGAUCAUUAUUGAUUUUAUCUAUUUCUGUGGAUUUUUAUUCUAUUACAGCGUCAUUUUAUCUCAAUUAUAACUAUCAACAACGGAUCUCUUGGCUCUCACAUCGAUGAAGAACGCAGCGAACCGCGAUAUUUUUUGUGACUUGCAGAUGUGAAUCAUCAAUCUUUGAACGCACAUUGCGCGGUAUGGCAUUCCGUACCGCACGGAUGGAGGAGCGUGUUCCCUCUGGGAUCGCAUUGCUUUCUUGAAAUGGAUUUUUUUAAACUCUCAAUUAUUACGUCAUUCACCUCCUCAUCCGAGAUGCCC
This 351-nucleotide ribosomal RNA is filed under the name Yarrowia lipolytica. RNAcentral describes it as "partial ribosomal RNA". The stretch from base 117 to 265 matches the Rfam family "5.8S ribosomal RNA". Lineage: Eukaryota; Fungi; Ascomycota; Dipodascomycetes; Dipodascales. The record is from RNAcentral.